UACGGAGGGUGCAAGCAUUAAUCGGAUUUAUUGGGCGUAAAGGGCGCGUAGGCGGCUAGAAAAGUCAGAUGUGAAAUUCCGGGGCUCAACCCCGGAGCUGCAUUUGAAACCCUUUAGCUAGAGGGUAGAGAGGGUAAACGGAAUUCCACGUGUAGCGGUGAAAUGCGUAGAUAUGUGGAAGAACACCAGUGGUGAAGACGGUUUACUGAGCUACUACUGACGCUGAGGCGCGAAAGCAUGGGGAGCAAACAGG
This 253-nucleotide ribosomal RNA is filed under the name uncultured bacterium. RNAcentral's name for it is "partial 16S ribosomal RNA". It matches the Rfam family "Bacterial small subunit ribosomal RNA", at positions 524 to 776 of the family's 1533-position model. The record is from RNAcentral.